AUGCCCAAUGAUUAUAAAAAGACGCGUUAUUAUGAGGACCAGUGCUGGGACUCUAGCUUACCUUCCCUCUCUGUUUUUCACUGCUUUUCUCUCAGAUCUUUUUUUCCUUCCUUUCCCUCUUCUGCCCUCCCUUCCUCUGGAGUCUCCAGUGUCCUAUGAGCAAGAUUAUGAGAUAUGAGGGCAG
Small nucleolar RNA from Eublepharis macularius, 184 nucleotides. RefSeq annotates it as small nucleolar RNA SNORD97. Lineage: Eukaryota; Metazoa; Chordata; Lepidosauria; Squamata; Eublepharidae. The transcript has a single exon. The record is from RefSeq and is a predicted model, not a curated record.